This 733-nucleotide ribosomal RNA is filed under the name uncultured bacterium. Its description in RNAcentral is "bacterial SSU rRNA". It matches the Rfam family "Bacterial small subunit ribosomal RNA", at positions 636 to 1380 of the family's 1533-position model. The record is from RNAcentral.
GUUUUCUAGAAGGCAGUAGGGGCAGAUGGAAUUCCCGGCGUAGGAGUAAUAUCCGUUGAUAUCGGGAGGAACACCAAUAGCGAAGGCAAUCUGCUGGGCUGACCUUGACCCUCACUGACGAAAGCGUGGGGAGCAAACGGGAUUAGAUACCCCGGUAGUCCACGCCGUAAACGAUGGACACUAGGCGUAUGUGGCAUCGACCCCAUAUGUGCCGAAGCUAACGCAUUAAGUGUCCCGCCUGGGGAGUACGGCCGCAAGGCUAAAACUCAAAGGAAUUGACGGGGAUCCACACAAGCGGUGGAGCAUGUGGUUUAAUUCGUAGUUAAGCGAAGAACCUUACCAAGGCUUGACAUCCUCGGAACUUUGCAGAAAUGUGAAGGUGCCCGCAAGGGAACUGAGUGACAGAUGUUGCAUGGUCGUCGUCAGCUCGUGCCGUGAGGUGUACGGUUAAGUCCGAUAACGAGCGCAACCCUCGCUAUUAGUUGUAUUUCUCUAAUGGGACUGCCCUGGACAACAGGGAGGAAGGUGGGGAUGACGUCAGAUCAGCAUGGCUUUUACGCCUUGGGCUACACACGUGCUACAAUGGGAUGUACAAUGGGAAGCAAUGGAGUAAUCCGGAGCAAAUCCUUAAAGCAUCUCCAAGUUCGGAUUGAAGGCUGAAAUUCGCCUUCAUGAAGCUGGAAUCGCUAGUAACCGCCAAUCAGCAAUGUGGCGGUGAAUAUGUUCCUGGAUC